This 4461-nucleotide long non-coding RNA is filed under the name Salvia miltiorrhiza (redroot sage). RNAcentral describes it as "long non-coding RNA (SMIL_LNC006618)". Lineage: Eukaryota; Viridiplantae; Streptophyta; Magnoliopsida; Lamiales; Lamiaceae. The record is from RNAcentral.
UUUAAUUCUUCCAGUUUAAGAAUCCUCCUCAGCCACAAUUCUAUCUCUCAUCUUUGGCCACAUCAUUUUUUUAAAACAACAAGUAUCAAACUUUCCUAUUUAAAGCAUGGGCCUUCAUCAUCUGAUUUUUCGAAACAUGCCAAAAACACAGCAAGCUUUAAAAUUAUUUGUGCUCUUUUCUCUGCACAAGGUAAUUUUAUUAUUUCUGUAAAUUUUUCAUUCUUCUCCAGUUCACUACUGUAUCCCAUAUUUUGUGCAGAGAUAAUUUUUAAUAAUCUUUAAACUCUCACAAUUUUACUCUCAAAUUCCAAAAUCCCCAACAUCUUCAAUUCAAAAGCAAACAGAAGAUUCAAAAGCAAACUUUGAUCAGCAAGCCAAAUUUGAUUUCCACAGCAGCAAAUUUUGAAGCAGCAAACUUUGAAGCAGCAAAACUUUGAAUGAUUUCUUUCUUUCACACGUUUAUGUUCAAACAAGUAAAUUCAAUCUAUUUAAACCUCAUUUAUCAUCCUCAAAUUCACAAAUCAACUCAUCCUCAAAUUCACAAAUCCAACAAAAAACUCAACUUUUAUAAUCCAUCCGGUUUUCUUCAACUGCACAAUUUCAACUGGUAAACUUUAUUUUUCCGCAAAGUUUUCAUGAUUUAAUUUCAUUUUCAUAUGCAAAAACACAAGUGCAUAUAGACACCUCAAUUCUUAAAAAAAUCAAAUCUCCAAUAUUCAUUGUUUUGCUGAAAAGAAAAUACAAUAGAUUGAAAGAGAAAUAGUAGCUUAGAAUUUAGACAGGAGAUAGAAGAGAGGGAAAACGGUUGAGCAGCAAUACCGCCGGAUCCGACGGAGGUGGAGACAGGGGCAGCGGCGCUAGGUCUCGGCGUUCUGGUCGGACAGAGGAAGGAGGCGGCUGGGCGGCGCCGCUGUCGACGCAGGGGCGGCGAUGGUGGUGCUGCUGUUGGCCAGGAGAGAAAUAGACGGUGAAGGCGACGCCGGGCAGGAGACGGUGGCGGCAGGGGUCGCCGGAGAAGAGGGGCGCAGGUGCGGCUGGUGCGGUGAGGACAAGGGCAGGGGAGGAGGAAGAGGGCGAGAAGUGAGGGGUGAGAAGGAGAUAGGAAGAAGGGGGAAGGGAAAGGAGGCAGAACCGCCGGCCGACGGGGCGAUGGCGUUGCCGCCUGGUGGUGGCGGAAGGGGAAGACCGAGGGAGAGAAGGGUAGAGGGAGAGACUGAGAGGGUGCGCUGGUGUGUGAGUAUGUGUGUGAGGGUGUGCGUGUGUGUAGUGAAUUAGAGAGAGAUAGCAAAAUUUAAUGGAGAAGAAUGGGUGUUGGGCUAUUUGCAUAAAUGGGCUUAAGUUUAGCCUUGUUUUAAUUAAAGGGAAAUGAUGUUGGAUUUUAAGUCUUGGACUUAAGUUCUAUUUUGUUAAUGGAUUGAUCUACUGCAUUAAUAUAUUUACGUAACUGAACUUGGUUUUAAAUUAGAAAAUUAGCUACUUUUCCUAAAGAAAAUGAUCUUUAAGUAUUUUUAUUAUUAUUCUACUUUAUUAAUUAAAUCAAUGGCUUAUAAAAUAAAUUCUUAAGUUUCAAGUUAUAUUUUUUAGUAAAUUUAAUUAGGCCUUUAUGUUUAUUAUUUGAAUUUAUCUGACUAGGUGCGGCGCGACUAGGACGUUACUUUUGAUUGAAUUACUCAAGUUAGCUUUCAAAGCUCAAGUUCCAGGUGUGGGAUUUAUUUCAGUACAUGCACGUGGUUAAUAUUUGUCCAUUUUAAUAUUAUGUGUUUACCGUAUGUGUUGUAAAAAUAUUUAUCGCUAGGGGCCAGCAUAAUUGGUCCAGGACUUCACCGUCCUUGGUAUGCCACAAUGCGAUUUCAUGUUACAGGGUUGCAACCAUUAUAUUGUCGCCAGGGAUCCAUAUAUAGGGUCCGGGACAUUAAAGUCCUUGGAGUUGCCACAGUGCGUAUGGAAGUUAUGUUACGUUAUGACAAUAUGUGUUACCAUUUUAUUAACAUGGACAAUUAUUGCAUGUUCCCACACUGAGUGUACCCUGUAUGCUCAUCCCAUAUUCAACAGUUUCAGGUGAUUGAUAUUGGAGGCGCGUGGAGAGUCGAAUGGGCGCGUCACAUCUAUUUUAAAAAUAAAUGUUUCUUAAAACAUAUUAUGUUAUUUCAUGUGAUAUCUUUUGGUUAUGUAAACUCUGAAAUUCUAUACUAUUUGAGAUUUGUGUGUGAUUUAUUUAAAUAAAUGUUGUUAUAUUAUUUUAAUGUCAUGACUUGUUUAAUUUAUAUUUAAAUUCAUUUCAAAUAUUUAUUUAAGAAUUUAUAUCUUUACGAAAAUAUAUACAUGGAUACAUACAUAAUUUUUAAUCAUAUAAAGAUUUUAUUUUGUUAUAUUUUCCGCUGCUAAAAAGAUAUUAUUUUAUAUUUAGAGUUUUUCCUUAGUACAAGUUUUAUUAAUUAGUUAAUUAUUUUUCUGACAUCUUCAUGUCGUGCUUUGAAAAUAAAGUUGUUAAAUUUAUGAUUUAAAAAUCAAGAUUUAUAUUUGAAUACAUUAUUGAAAAUUUUGAUAUCUUAUAAAUCGUUUUAAAAGUGCUUUAAAAACCAAUUUUAUUUAAAGAUUUCUUUUUCUUAAAAUUAUUUUCAAAAAUAUUUAUUUUAAAAGUGAGUUUUAAAUUAUUUUAAAAGACUUCCGCAUUAAAUAUUUAUUUAAAUUUUAUAUUUAACUCCUUAAUUAGAUUAGGGUGUUACAGCAUGGUAUCAGAGCAGGUCUACUUUCCUGUAGACUCUGCAAAAUAUUUUACAUAAAAUUCUUAAAUGUCAUGUGUGAGAAAAUCCAUUCGACCUCUACGUGCUCCGACUUCAAGGUAAAUGUAUUUUAAAAGUAUUUCAAAAUAUUUUUAUAGGGAUGAGUAUAAAUUGUUUACGUUGAAAGUAUGUUGAAAUUUGCUGCAAUAAUUGAAGUUAUUAUCAGAAAGUUCAAGUUCAUUAUGCAAGUUAUUAUGAGAAAGUUCAGUAUUCAAAUUAUAUGUUGAAGAUUAUUGCAGCUAUGAGUAAAGAUAUUUCAAAUAUUUUUCAAGAUGAGUAUAAAUUAUUUACGUUGAAAGUAUGUUGAAAUUUGCUGCAAUGAUUGAAGUUAUUAUCAGAAAGUUCAAGUUCAUUAUGCAAGUUAUUAUGAGAAAGUGCAGUAUUCAAGUUAUUAUGCUGAAGAUUAUUGCAGCUAUGAAUUGUCAAAUUUCGAGGACGAAAUUCUUUUAAGUGGGUAGGUUUGUCACAGCCCAAAACCGUUUACUACCUUUGCAAAUUUUAUUUGAAAAUUUUUAUAUUUUCGAGAUAUUAAAAAUAUAAAUCUAUGAGUCGAGUUUGUGGAGAAUUAUCUAGUCGCGCCCCUAGCUAGAUGUAUGACUCUAAAUUCUAGGUUAUACCUAUAGAAAUAAAGUUUUAUAUUCCAAAAAUAUUUUUAUAUAAAUUUGGGCCUAAAUAAAUUUAUUUACUUAAAUAUAUUUAUCAUGGACAUUAUAUUAAUUUUGGAUUAAGAAUAAAAUAUUUUCAUAAAUUUUGUUAGUGUUGGGCUUAUUGUUAUUAAUGUGCCAAAUUCUUUUGCAAUGAUCCUAAAACAAUUAUUCAAGUUUCAACAUUUAUAGUUUAUUAAUGAUUUCAAGGAUUUGGAUACCUUAUUUUCGUAUCUGCAAAUUAACAAUUUCUACUCUAUUUAUUUACAUUUGUUUAAAGAAGUCUCCAAGCCAGCCAUUCCUAUUUUUAUUCUUAUCAGAUAUCUAACCGCCCUAAUUAGAUAAAUGAUUUUGAACUAUAGAUUAUAUUUAUAAAAAGAUACAAAUUUAUAUUAUCAAAUAUUUUUAUUAAAUUGUUGGGCCUUAUAUUUAAAGUAUUUAUAUAAUUCUUAUUUAAUACUAGGCCUUUUAUUAUUGUCCAAAUUUUAUGAUGCACCUAAAAUAGUUAUUAAGUUAAAAUAUUUAUAACUUAUCAACUAAAAGAAUAAGAAUUUGCUUGUGCAGACUCCAAUCCAUAUUCCAUAUUUUAUUCUCAAUUCUAUUUGUAUUUAAAUAUUCAAUUCAAUCUCUCCAUCCUUUUUCCUCUGAAACUUAUAAAACACAAAACACGAUUCGAUUUCCUCCUUAGCCACACAUAUCAGUAUUCGCAGUAUUUGACAAACAUCACAGCAUGCCAAACUUGAAUUAAAUUUCCUUUCCGUAAGAUUUGAUUUUCUUCCACAAGCAGCAAAUUUUUGAUUUCUUUCACAUUCAAAUCUUUGACGAACGAGUAAAUUCAAUCUAUUUAAACCUCAUUGUAUCAUCCUCAAAAUUCACAAAUCCAACAAAAACUCAACUUUUAUAAUCCAUCCGGUUUUCUUCAACUGCACAAUUUCAACUGGUAAACUUUAUUUUUCCGCAAAGUUUUCAUGAUUUAAUUUCAUUUUCAUAUGCAAAGAUCUCUGCUUUCUUUCAAUUUACAGAAAACAACCAAA